Rattus norvegicus (Norway rat) is the source of this 2794-nucleotide long non-coding RNA. RefSeq lists it as uncharacterized. NCBI's taxonomy places the organism in Eukaryota, Metazoa, Chordata, Mammalia, Rodentia, Muridae. The record is from RefSeq and is a predicted model, not a curated record.
CACAGAGGCACACACAGAGGAAGAUUAUGUCUACACAUUCAGGGACAUGGGUACCCUCAGUGUCCUAAGGUCUAGUGCCCACAGGUUUUUAUUUUCUGAAAAAUGUUUUAUUUAAAGAAUUACAUGAAAAUAGGGUUGGUAGAUUGACUCAGAGGGUGAAGACUCUUGUUAUCAACCUUAUCUCCAUCCCUAGGUCCCGCAUGAUAGGAGAGAACAGAUUCCUACAAGCUGUCCUCUGGCUGCGUGUGCACUGUUACAGAUGCACACACCCCUCUACAGGCACUACACAUAAUAAAUGAAUAAUAUUGAAGGAUGGCAUAAUUUAAUUUAACUUGUAGAGUUGCUCAUCCUUUGACUGGAAACCCCUAAGUUAAGACCUUACACAGCCCUUGUAUGAUUAUUAGAAUAAAACACUUAAUUCCCAUACUAUUAAGGAUACAUUUUAUCCAGGUUUCUCAAUGUAUGAACAGUGUUUUUCUGUUUCAGAUCCCAUAUUGCAUUGCCCUCCCCCUCCAGGUCUCCAUGCUCCCCCUCUCUCUCUGAGACAGUUUCUCUGUGUAACAGCCUUAGCUGUCCUAGAGAUCGCUUUGUAAACCAGGCCGACCUGGAAGUCCCAGAGAUGGGUUUGCCUCUCUCUGUCUCCCAAGUGCUAGGAUUAAAGGCGUGUGCCAUCACAUCCAGCUCUGACCUAUUUAGUUUUCAACAUGCAUUGAGAAUAAUGCUUUCUACAUUCUAGAUACUCUAGGGACGGAGCUAUACCCCCAGAAGAACAGUAUUUAUUUUUAUUUUUGAUAUUAAGUAUAAAGCCAGAGAAUAAUUCUUUGCAAUAAUUUCUGGGAGGGUUUCAAUAGAGAAAAUUUCCAGCUGACAUAGCAAAUAAAAGGCAAAAUACUAUUUAAAUCCAAAGAACAAAAUUACUUUGUUUCUUGUGGUAUUAUUGAAAGUUGAACUUAGGACCUCAUGGAGUGCUACAGAGCUACAUUUCCAGCCCCACAUUUCUGGUUUUUACUCUGAGCCAGAUUCUCAUUAAGUUGCCCUGGCUGCCUUGAACCUUCAAUAAUUCCUUUCUCAGCCUCCUAAACAGGUGGGAAUUACAGGCUUCCAUCAAGAGGUCUGUUUUAGCAGCCCAUAGAUUUAAAAAAAAAAAAAAAAAAAAAGACCAGAAAAAAAAAAAAAAACCAAACAAACAAAACAAAAAACCCCCGGGGAUAAUUAGCACAAGUAACUGCAGUGGAGGAAGGGGCUACAACUAGAAGGGCAGAUGUCUGGAGAGGCCGAACUGAAGACACAGGAAACAUCCCAUGUGCAUGGAAGGUCGUUGGGGGGUAAGCCUGCCAGAGCUCGAAUCACUGAGGGAGCAGGGCACAGCACCCCCACCUAGCACCAGGAUCGAGUUAGGGAACAAAGAGCCAAGCCCUCCCUCAGCUGCGUCCCUCCUGUGCCCCCUUCUGGGAAUGCUCUGUACUGCGCUUGCCUGUGGAGGACAGGAAGGACCAGAUGGACUAGAAUUUCAUUUCACUUUAGGAGAAGUUUCACUUUAGGAGAAAUGCAAGGUCGAGGCAAAACUGACCAGAGACACCUAGGACUUCUGGUGUGCCCCCCAACCGUGUCACCCACCCCGUAUCCUCCUUCCCACCGCUUCUACAGCUUUGGAUUUCCCAGAAUUCCCUGCUUCCCAGGGUCAUAGGCCUCUUUUGCAAGUCCAUCAACUUCCUUCCCCUGUAAUGUGUUGUGAGCUUCCCAAACCAGCCUCUUUCAGAACCUGGUCUUCCAUAUGCAACAGAUCUCGCCAUGUACUUGUUUGUUUAGGUUUUUGUACGUGUAGUGUGCUGUCAAUUCUCAGAAGGAACCUCGAUUGAGAAAACACCCCCAUCCAAUUGGCCUGUAGGAAUCUGUGUUUGGGAGUAUCCAGUGUCUGCGGAAGACUGGGGAACCACAGAAACUGUAGGAGGCAGAAAGAAGCUACCUUCAGUGAUCCAGCCAGGUUCCUGUCCCCCUAACCCCACCCCUGGGGUCUGCCUCACCUCACAGGUUCCAAGGGUCACCUCUAAACCCUAUCUACCUGGAGGGAAGUUCUUGAAACCUGCCAUUCUAUUACACUGUGACUGGUCUGGUCUGGUCUCCAUGGAAGCUGAUGGAAUCCCUGCCCUCCCCUUGGUGGACAGAGCCUGAGGCCCUGGAGCCCAUGUGGCCCCAGGAAUCCCAUUGAUUACACUGGGUGCCCAGUGCCGGGUGCCAGGAGAGCCCACAGGAACACACAGUCGGGUGAAUUGGAGAACCAAUCCUGUUGUCUUCUGCCAGGCAACAUCCCAAAUCCAUCCCCAGGGGAAACCUGCAGGUCCCUUCACCUUGGAGCCUCACAGUUUGGGGUUUUGAUUUGGGAGUUAUGGCUGUGACCGGCUCCCACAGGCUUGGGGGUUGCUUUGCUUUGCAAAUACUAGCCUCAGGAGAGGAAGGCCAGAGGGAAGGAUGGUUAGGUACUGGGGAAGCUUUAAGUUAUAACUGUAGGCAUACAUUUUUUGCAACCUACUUUUUUAUAUAUGUAGUAUAAUGUGGCAUAUUAUUUAUUGUCAAUUAAAAACUCAGUUGAAAAUAUUUACAGGGGCUGGAGAGAUGGCUCAGCAGUUAAGAACACUGACUGCUUUUCUAGAGGUCCUGAGUUCAAGUCCCAGCAACCACAUGGUGGCUCACAAGCAUCUGUAAUGAGAUCUGAUGCCCUCUUCUGGUGUGUCUGAAGACAGCUGCAAUGUACUGAUAUAAAUAAUAAAUAAAUAAAUCUAAAAAAAAAAGAAAA